CCGAGUUAUCCAACUCCCAACCCCUGUGAAUCAUACCUUUAAUUGUUGCUUCGGCGGGACUUCGCGCCCGCCGGGGACCCAAACCUUCUGAAUUUUUUAAUAAGUAUCUUCUGAGUGGUUAAAAAAAAUGAAUCAAAACUUUCAACAACGGAUCUCUUGGUUCUGGCAUCGAUGAAGAACGCAGCGAAAUGCGAUAAGUAAUGUGAAUUGCAGAAUUCAGUGAAUCAUCGAAUCUUUGAACGCACAUUGCGCCCGUCAGUAUUCUGGCGGGCAUGCCUGUUCGAGCGUCAUUACGCCCCUCAAGUCCCCUGUGGACUUUGUGUUGGGGAUCGGCGAGGCUGGUUUUCCAGCACAGCCGUCCCUUAAAUUAAUUGGCGGUCUCGCCGUGGCCCUCCUCUGCGCAGUAGUAAAGCACUCGCAACAGGAGCCCGGCGCGGUCCACUGCCGUAAAACCCCCCAACUUUUUAUAG
RNAcentral lists this ribosomal RNA (470 nucleotides) under Metarhizium anisopliae. RNAcentral describes it as "eukaryotic LSU rRNA". The stretch from base 137 to 290 matches the Rfam family "5.8S ribosomal RNA". Lineage: Eukaryota; Fungi; Ascomycota; Sordariomycetes; Hypocreales; Clavicipitaceae. The record is from RNAcentral.